This is a long non-coding RNA of Brassica rapa (field mustard), 2496 nucleotides long. RefSeq lists it as uncharacterized. NCBI's taxonomy places the organism in Eukaryota, Viridiplantae, Streptophyta, Magnoliopsida, Brassicales, Brassicaceae. The record is from RefSeq and is a predicted model, not a curated record.
AAUUAAGUUACAUGUUACGAGAAACUAGAAAGCAUGGCGCCAGUUUGAUUUUUUUAGUUCAUUCAGAUAUCUAUGAAAUUUAAUCCAGUUUUAGCUUCUUUUUAUUUUUCGGUUUGAAUAAUAAAGUUGUUCGAAACAGGUCAAACAUAAUCAGAUUCUUAAUUGAUUUAAAUUUUUGGUAAUUUUGAACAAUUUUUUUAGAUGAUUGAUAUAAAAAUUUAGAAAUAUAAAUCAAAUUUUAGAUAAUCAGAUGCUUAUUUAACUCAUUUUAAGUAUAAAAACAAACCGCAUCUAGAUAUUUAUAAAUAAUCAACUCGGUAUCUUUUGUUUUUGAUUCGGUACAAUUUAGUUUUGGAUUUCGGUUUAAAACGUCUACACGCGCGUAGUUACGAGUGCGCUUCGAAGGCUCUUCCAUUCUAACCCUAAUCUAAUCGUGGAAUUUCGGCGGAGUUGAUUUGUUUACUUUUGACGUAUGCAACAGAUAAGCACUUUGACAGUAGUUGCUAAUAAAAUUGAAAUCAUUUGUCAUGUUAGGGAAAAGACAAGACUUUGUGAUAUUUGAUUGUUCGUACUUCAUUUUUUUUCUAUAGAGACAAACAAAUUAUCUGGUUAUGAAAACUAUUGACGAGAAAAAGAAUUUACACACUACAAAACAUAUAGAUCAAAACACUAAAUUGGUUAAAAUAUAUUAAUAUUAUUAUAGAAAUAAAAGAGAAACAUCAUUUGAAUUACCCUUACAAUCAUGACUACGAAUCAUCAUCGUUUUUCCAAAAGUCUAAAUAAUAUGCAUAUAUUCCGGCGCAUAUUAAGAUUAACAAACAUGCAAAAACAGCUAUAACCGCCACUAGUCCCCAGGUCCCCAUCGUCUCUUUUGAGGUAUAGUAACUUCUCUUCUUGUAUGUAAUGGAACUGUUAUGAGAUGUGGAUUCAACCGAAAAGAAGAUGUUUAUAUAACUAAUUUAAAUUUGAAAUAUGGUAAUUUAUAGAUAGACUAGGAGAUUUUCCCUGCCACGAAUAUAGAAACUACUUAAUAGUUCUGAGCACGUAUAUAUUAUAUGAAUCAGCAUAUCUUAAGCAUGAGUUGUUAGAAUUAAAUGACUUUUAAUUGAGAAUCUUAUGAUAAAUCAUACUACUCCAUUAACGAGUUCUACUCCAUUUUUAAUAUUAGAGACUAUUUAAAUGUCAAGAACCAGUCAACAAAAGAUUUAACACAUCGAUGUAAAAAAAAGAUUUAACACAUCCUUAUUUUCAUAUCUUGUAAUUUAAUUGAUAGUAAUUUACUAAAACUAAAUAAACCACAAGGUGGUGGUCUUUUAGAUAGACUUUGGACAACAAAGUAAUCCAGAUUUAAAAGCUCUCCAAUAUAUUUUAUUAUUUUGUCACGUGGAUAUAAGAUAAUACUCUAAGAUCAUUUCCAAUAGUUUACUCAAUUUUUUCUUUUAAAUAAAGUAAAUAUAUAUACUAGAGUUGAUUUAUACUCUAAUAGUAUUAUAUUUAGAGUAAAAAAUAUAAUGAUGAAUAAAAAAUACUUUAUUUAUAGAAUAAAUUUAUUUUUCAGUCUAUUAUUAAAUGAAAAUUUGAGUACUAUUAUAACAUAUUUACUCUAAAUUCUGUUUAUACUCAAAGUAAGAUAUUAUCAGAGAUCAUUGGAGAUGUUCUAAACUUUAUUUGAAUACCCAAAAAGAUGGUUCAUCAAUGGACUACACCUACCCCUGAGAAUUAGUAUAGGUGUUUUCAACUUUUCAUAGGCUUGAAAUACUCCAGACUAAUAAAAAAUUAAUUAAAUAUCAUAUGGUUAUAGAAAUUAACACAAAUUUUUUUUUGAGAAGACGACAUGUCAAUAAAUGAAAAACCUAAGAAAACCAAUGAAAUCAUUUAAAUAUUACACGUCAGUUUACACAUCACACAUCAGUCAAAUACAGUAAAUCCCAAACGGUGAUGUCGUCGUCUUUGGGAUCUGCUUUUCUACAGUAAAUCCCAAACAGUUAAAAAGAACCCUAAGGUUUAGGUCGCAGUCAUCGAACAAUUUGUUUGCCCGUGGCUUUGUGAUCUGCUUUUCUAUCAUAUGAUUGUGCGCAAAUCAGCUCACUUGUGCUUUGACAAAAAUUGGUGUACCCUGACUCUACGAUAACAAGGCAAGUAGACAACUACGUUGUCACUCAUGAGAAAGCUUUUGUCUUGUCUCAAUGUCAAUCUCUAAACCUAAGCCGGGGGCGGGUUCUAGCCGCUGCUGAUUCAACUGAAACCUUAGAUGGUUAAAGACUGUUUUUUAAUGAAAUUUUUUUUUCCCUUGAUUCUUCUGAUGUGGAAGUGGUUGCAAUAAAGGAGUUUAGGUUUUAAAACUUGUAAGUGACUAUUUAUGUUUCUGAAUGUUCUGGUGUCUCUGUUUCUGGAGGAAAAUGUUUAUUCGGUUAACUAUUGUGUUCAUGUGUUCAUUCGUAAUGUUUGUUCUUCUCCGAUACUUUAUUGGUUUUAUUAGUAAAACCAGCUCACUUA